UGAUGUUCGGGGAUCCGCGGACGGGUGCCGCGGUUUCCGUCGCCGCCCCCGGGAUGCUCCCGAAUCCGUCCGGUGGUUCGGUGCCGUCGGCACCACCC
This 98-nucleotide transfer RNA is filed under the name Tsukamurella paurometabola. RNAcentral describes it as "tRNA-Arg(ccg)". The record is from RNAcentral. Lineage: Bacteria; Bacillati; Actinomycetota; Actinomycetes; Mycobacteriales; Tsukamurellaceae.